AUCAGGGGUAAACCUGUGGAACUCGAACGAACGAACGGGGAGAUUCAACGUGUUUCCGUUUACGGAUCCGCGACGCGAUCGUUUCGCGUCGGUUGCGUCGUCUCGUGCGGCGUUAAUCGGCGCGGCGGUCGCGUCGUAGUAAGGUUCGCGGAACGCGUGCACUUCUCCCUUAGUAAAACACCGCGACCCGUUCGGUUGUUCUCGGGAUCGAACGCGUCGUGCGGUUGACCCGUUUCGAACGUUAAAAAUUCGGAACGGAGCCGCGACGUCGCGAUCUCGGACGGACGGUAAAAUUACGAGGUACGCUUUCGCCGCUCGUCGGCGUCCGUGUUUCGAACCGAAUCGGUCUCGUUCGGACCUCGACGUUCACGCGUCGCGGGUUCCGCGCGCAGUCUGCCGGUUCGCCGUUGUCGAAACGUCUCGGACGGAAAGCGUCCCGGUCGGCGGUGGUUAUGUUUCGGGCACUCACAGGACCCGUCUUGAA
Molecule: ribosomal RNA, 484 nt
Filed under: Blepharopus diaphanus
Lineage: Eukaryota; Metazoa; Arthropoda; Insecta; Trichoptera; Hydropsychidae
Description: partial 28S ribosomal RNA
Source: RNAcentral